GUAAGUUCUUUAUAGUUGGAAUCAUUUCCCACCUUGAUUUAUCAUUUAGAUUAAUUAAUGCUUCAAAUUUUCUGCAUUCGUCAUCCACUUUUCAAAUAAAUGAAAAAAAAAAAAUUCUCUCACAUCAAAUCACACAGAGUUUAACUUUUUCUUAUCACUAACAAUUUCUUAAAUCCAAAACCACAAAAUAGGAAUGAAAAGAAUC
This 205-nucleotide long non-coding RNA is filed under the name Gossypium raimondii (Peruvian cotton). Its description in RNAcentral is "long non-coding RNA (GRAI_LNC007674)". The record is from RNAcentral. Lineage: Eukaryota; Viridiplantae; Streptophyta; Magnoliopsida; Malvales; Malvaceae.